This 366-nucleotide ribosomal RNA is filed under the name uncultured organism. Its description in RNAcentral is "bacterial SSU rRNA". It matches the Rfam family "Bacterial small subunit ribosomal RNA", at positions 526 to 896 of the family's 1533-position model. The record is from RNAcentral.
CGGAGGAUCCAAGCGUUAUCCGGAAUCAUUGGGUUUAAAGGGUCCGUAGGCGGCCUUAUAAGUCAGUGGUGAAAUCUCCCGGCUCAACCGGGAAAUUGCCAUUGAUACUGUAGGGCUUGAAUUAUUAGGAAGUAACUAGAAUAUGUAGUGUAGCGGUGAAAUGCUUAGAGAUUACAUGGAAUACCAAUUGCGAAGGCAGGUUACUACUAAUGGAUUGACGCUGAUGGACGAAAGCGUGGGUAGCGAACAGGAUUAGAUACCCUGGUAGUCCACGCCGUAAACGAUGGAUACUAGCUGUUGGGCGCAAGUUCAGUGGCUAAGCGAAAGUGAUAAGUAUCCCACCUGGGGAGUACGUUCGCAAGAAUG